This is a non-coding RNA of Paramuricea clavata, 524 nucleotides long. NCBI's taxonomy places the organism in Eukaryota, Metazoa, Cnidaria, Anthozoa, Malacalcyonacea, Plexauridae. The record is from the annotation of a GenBank genome assembly.
UGAUUUUCCAUUUAACAUACAAGCCUCUAGUCCUGGGCUAGGGUACAUGUUGAUUUACGUCGGACAAAGCUACAGUUCGGUCGGACACCAGUACACUCGGGUCGGACAAACAAUAAACCCCAGUUUCACUUUGGUCGGACAGAAUGUCCGGUGGUUUCCUCUCUACGUCGGACAGUUUCACGAAUGGGUCGGACAAUGUCCGUGACCGACCGAUAUUUUAAGGCCUGCUUUUUAAUUUUUAAAACAUUUCUCAAGCGGCAAACAAACUUAAAAAGUAUGCUAAAUUGAAGAGAUUUUAGAUUGUACGCCAAAGAGAAAAUUAUGUCUGAAGUUCAGUAAGUUUUGUUUAUAUUGCUGUAUAAAUAUGGCGUCAAAUUUUACAGUAUUGAUAGGGCUGCAAAUUACUGUCGGACAUCGGACAAUGUUCGACUAAAUUUGGCAAAUGUCCGAGCAAAAGUAAUUUUGAUCGGACAUUGGUCCGAUCACAAAAAAAUUGUCACAUUAUACAUUUUUUGCUGUGACAA